Molecule: ribosomal RNA, 433 nt
Filed under: uncultured bacterium
Lineage: Bacteria
Description: partial 16S ribosomal RNA
Rfam family: Bacterial small subunit ribosomal RNA
Source: RNAcentral
AACGAACGCUGGCGGCAUGCCUAACACAUGCAAGUCGAACGAGACCUUCGGGUCUAGUGGCGCACGGGUGCGUAACGCGUGGGAACCUGCCCUUAGGUUCGGAAUAACUCCCCGAAAGGGGUGCUAAUACCGGAUAAUGUCUUCGGACCAAAGAUUUAUCGCCUUUGGAUGGGCCCGCGUUGGAUUAGCUAGUUGGUAGGGUAAAAGCCUACCAAGGCGACGAUCCAUAGCUGGUCUGAGAGGAUGAUCAGCCACACUGGGACUGAGACACGGCCCAGACUCCUACGGGAGGCAGCAGUGGGGAAUAUUGGACAAUGGGCGAAAGCCUGAUCCAGCAAUGCCGCGUGAGUGAUGAAGGCCUUAGGGUUGUAAAGCUCUUUUACCCGGGAUGAUAAUGACAGUACCGGGAGAAUAAGCCCCGGCUAACUCCGCG